AAUGUCACAACGCUUAAUUUUCAUAUGCAUAUGAAAAGCGGGGGAACCAAUCGUUGAUGAAGAGGACUGAUAGGAAAUGAUCAGGAUCUACACAACAUGGGGUGAAUUCCGGUAUCUACCGGAACGGGCAAUCUUCCAGCCCGAAUCCGACAGCUAACUCCGUAAGCGUAUAAGGGAGAACUC
This 183-nucleotide small RNA is filed under the name Paenibacillus sp. RNAcentral's name for it is "c-di-AMP sequence". It matches the Rfam family "c-di-AMP riboswitch aptamer (ydaO/yuaA leader)". Rfam says of the family: This family represents a conserved RNA structure found upstream of the ydaO and yuaA genes in Bacillus subtilis and related genes in other bacteria. The ydaO/yuaA element is thought to act as a genetic "off" switch for the ydaO and yuaA genes in its native state. RNAcentral also lists the same sequence under 1 other name. The record is from RNAcentral. Lineage: Bacteria; Bacillati; Bacillota; Bacilli; Caryophanales; Paenibacillaceae.